This is a long non-coding RNA of Leptidea sinapis, 575 nucleotides long. RefSeq lists it as uncharacterized. The transcript has 3 exons. The record is from RefSeq and is a predicted model, not a curated record. NCBI's taxonomy places the organism in Eukaryota, Metazoa, Arthropoda, Insecta, Lepidoptera, Pieridae.
UAAUUUAUAUUUUACAGGACAGACCAUAUAUUAGUGGAAAAUAUAAAGUACAUGAAAAAUAUUCAAGAAGAACAUUUAGCUACGACGUAGCUAUGAUAACAUUAGACAAGGAAAUUGAAAUGGGAGACUGUGCACAACCUGUUGAGUUAAUAGGAGCCGAUGAAGAUAUUCCUGCAGGCACAAAUGUUACAGUAAUGGGAUUUGGAAAAAUAUCGCAAGAUGGACCUCUCAGUGAUGACUUGAAGGCAGUUGACUUAAAAAUGUAUUCUGAUCAAUACUGUCAUAAAUUCUAUGGUCGUUUACCAACAGCCACGCAAAUAUGUGCAGGACACAACAAAGACAACCAGAAUACUUGCGGGGGCGAUUCUGGUGGACCUAUUGUAUUCUACAAGACUAAAAAACAAUGUUGUUUGGUGACUGCUGGUAGGUACUGCGCGAAGGCCAACUACCCGAAGCUAUUUACCAAAUUAAGCAAUAAAGAAGUACACGAAUGGAUAAUAAAACAUUCAAGUAAUUAAUGUGAUGCCUCCUUAUUAUUGUUUGGUGUGAAAAUAAAGUAAAAAUGAAAAUGAAAA